Homo sapiens (human) is the source of this 1663-nucleotide long non-coding RNA. Ensembl annotates it as EXOC3 antisense RNA 1. Its record names the gene EXOC3-AS1. NCBI's taxonomy places the organism in Eukaryota, Metazoa, Chordata, Mammalia, Primates, Hominidae. The record is from Ensembl.
ACUUCCGCUUCCGGCAACGGCGCCGGAAGCACGGGUCCGGGCCCUCCCGCGGGGCGGGUACUCGUCUCCCGGCCGAGCGACUUCAGCUCGGGGACCUGCCCCAUGGCCGCUCCCCAGCAGGACAGGGAAACCGCCGAGGUGGGGGGCUUCUUGUCCGUCCCAGCCCCCCCAACUCAGGCCCUCUCGCUGCCCCUGGCGACCACCGCGUGCGCCCUUCCCCAGGGCGGGCGCAGUCCUGGACGCCUCCGCCGAGCGUGACUGCGUGCAUUUUCUCUCCUUUCCCUUCCCAACCUGCGGAGAGAAGACAGCCCCAGAGCCGCUGUCUCCAUCCUCUGCUGAUGCCUGCUGUCUUUAUGUUGGCCUCGUCGUCCGCACUGCAGUGUGGCAGGGGCGUCCCUCGUUUCCCGCGGACUGAGGUGGGCGCCGGGCAUUCAGUAAACGAAGAAACCAAAGCGGAGAAGGUUGGGAAUCAAACGUCUGUCAUACCUGCCACCAGCAGACAAGCGGCUUUGGGUACCUCCUGGACCCAAAGACGAACUCAGCCCCUCCAGGAGCGCAGUCAUUGGCACCCUCGUGGGAACAAUGCCAGUGGGAUGGGUGGCCACCGGAUGUUUCCGGGGCCCCUCAGAGGCCCAGCAGCGCAGGUCUUGGAGAAUGAAUGUGGGUCACUGGGCCGCGCUGCAGAGGGCCGGUCCUGAGUCGCUUCCUGGAGGAGAGGCCCAUGGCCAGCACUUGGCUUCGCCUGGAGGAAGAAGCACGUGCUAAACCACGAGCGUUCAGGGUUUGUCUGUUUGAUAAAAGAUGCUGGCUUUGACACACCAACUGACAAAGUCUUUCAUAGGUUGGAGCUGCUAGGUUGUGCCCCUGCCCCUCCUGAAAAUUAGCCACACGAAAGGAAGGGUCUGGAAGGUGGCAGGGAAGCCAGCAGAGACCAGGGAAGUGGCAGCAGCAUGGGGCAGGGGCACACAGGAAGGAGAUGGAGCUUGCGGGAGCCCCCACUGCCACUCCGACAGGGAGCCCUGCCCCGUGCCCUGCUGAUGUUGACACUGACCCCGGCUCUAUUAUUUCAGUUUUUCCUUGUAAUUUCUGAAAAUCUAGCAACAAGUUGAGCAAUGAAAAAAAGUAAAAAAGUUAAAAUUGUGUUAGAAAUUAUGACUGUAAAGAAAUUUUGAAACUAAUGAAGAAAAAAUUGCCAAAAUUGCCAAAGCUUUUAGGACUCUUAAAAAUAUAGUAACAUUGAGUAUUAUGAACUAAAGACUCAUACUAUUAUAUCAGUGUCUGGUAGUGAAUUUGGAUGGAGGACUGUCUAGUAACUUCUUAACAAAACAUUGAUUAGAAGUCUUUCUUGGCGGGGCGCCGUGGCUCACGCCUGUAAUCCCAGCACUUUGGGAGGCGAGGCAGGUAGAUCAUGAGGUCAGGAGAUCGAGACCAUCCUGGCUAACAUGGUGAAACCCCGUCUCUACUAAAAAAAAUACAAAAAAACUAGGCAGGUGUGGUGGUGGGCCCCUGGAGUCCCAGCUACUCGGGAGGCUGAGGCAGGAGAAUGGCGUGAACCCGGGAGGCGGAGCUUGCAGUGAGCCAAGAUCGCGCCACUGUACUCCAGCCUGGGCAACAGAGCGAGGCUCCGUCUCAAAAAAAAAAAAAAAAAAAAAAAAAAAAAAAA